UCCGGUUGAUCCUGCCGGAGGCCACUGCUAUCGGUUUCCGACUAAGCCAUGCGAGUCAGGUGUCGCAAGACGCCGGCGUACGGCUCAGUAACACGCGGAUGAUCUAUCCUCUGGUAGGGGAUAACCUCGGAAAACUGAGGCUAAUACCCCAUAGGUAUUUGAAGUUUGAAUACUCAGAUGCUGAAAGCGUGAGCGCCAGAGGGUGAGUCUGCGGCCUAUCAGGUAGUAGGUGGUGUAAUGGACCACCUAGCCUAAGACGGGUACGGGCCUUGAGAGAGGAAGCCCGGAGAUGGAUUCUGAGACACGAAUCCAGGCCCUACGGGGCGCAGCAGGCGCGAAACCUUCACACUGCGCGUAAGCGCGAUGAGGGGAGACCGAGUGCCUUCUCUUUACGGGAAGGCUUUUCACAAGCCUAAAAAGCUUGUGGAAUAAGGGCUGGGCAAGACGGGUGCCAGCCGCCGCGGUAAUACCCGCAGCUCAAGUGGUGGUCGCUAUUAUUGAGCCUAAAACGUCCGUAGUCGGCUUUGUAAAUCCCUGGGUAAAUCGGGUUGCUUAACGAUCCGAUCCCUGGGGAGACUGCAAAGCUUGGGACCGGGCGAGGUUAGAGGUACUCUCGGGGUAGGGGUGAAAUCCUGUAAUCCCGAGGGGACCACCUGUGGCGAAAGCGUCUAACUUGAACGGCUCCGACGAUGAGGGACGAAGGCUAGGGGAGCAAACCGGAUUAGAUACCCGGGUAGUCCUAGCUGUAAACACUGCCCGCUUGGUGUGGCCUGUCCUCCGGGGGCAGGCCGUGCCGGAGCGAAGGUGUUAAGCGGGCUGCUUGGGGAGUACGGCCGCAAGGUUGAAACUUAAAGGAAUUGGCGGGGGAGCACCGCAACGGGAGGAUGCGUGCGGUUUAAUUGGAUUCAACGCCGGA
Molecule: ribosomal RNA, 916 nt
Filed under: uncultured archaeon
Lineage: Archaea
Description: bacterial SSU rRNA
Rfam family: Archaeal small subunit ribosomal RNA
Source: RNAcentral